This 732-nucleotide ribosomal RNA is filed under the name uncultured bacterium. RNAcentral describes it as "bacterial SSU rRNA". It matches the Rfam family "Bacterial small subunit ribosomal RNA", at positions 12 to 755 of the family's 1533-position model. The record is from RNAcentral.
UUUGAACCUGGCUCAGGAUGAACGCUGGCGGCGUGCCUAACACAUGCAAGUCGAACGGGAAUAGGAUGAAACCUAGUGAUUCCUAUUCUAGUGGCGGACGGGUGAGUAACGCGUGGGUAACCUGCCUCGCACUGGGGGAUAACACUUAGAAAUAGGUGCUAAUACCGCAUAAGCGCACAGAACCGCAUGGUUCGGUGUGAAAAACUCCGGUGGUGUAAGAUGGACCCGCGUCUGAUUAGCUGGUUGGUGAGGUAACGGCUCACCAAGGCGACGAUCAGUAGCCGGCCUGAGAGGGUGAACGGCCACAUUGGGACUGAGACACGGCCCAAACUCCUACGGGAGGCAGCAGUGGGGAAUAUUGCACAAUGGGGGAAACCCUGAUGCAGCAACGCCGCGUGAGUGAAGAAGUCAUUCGUGAUGUAAAGCUCUAUCAGCAGGGAAGAAAAUGACGGUACCUGACUAAGAAGCCCCGGCUAACUACGUGCCAGCAGCCGCGGUAAUACGUAGGGGGCAAGCGUUAUCCGGAUUUACUGGGUGUAAAGGGAGCGUAGACGGCGACGCAAGUCUGAAGUGAAAUGCCAGUGCUCAACACUGGAACUGCUUUGGAAACUGUGUAGCUAGAGUGCAGGAGAGGUAAGUGGAAUUCCUAGUGUAGCGGUGAAAUGCGUAGAUAUUAGGAGGAACACCAGUGGCGAAGGCGGCUUACUGGACUGUAACUGACGUUGAGGCUCG